AUGAAGCUGGAGUUACUAGUAAUCGCAGAUCAGAAUGCUGCGGUGAAUGCGUUCCCGGGUCUUGUACACACCGCCCGUCGCACCACGGAAGUUGGGGGCGCCCGAAGCCACUUAGCUAACCCUUUUGGGAAGCGAGUGGUCGAAGGUGAAAUCAAUAACUGGGGUGAAGUCGUAACAAGGUACC
RNAcentral lists this ribosomal RNA (184 nucleotides) under uncultured bacterium. RNAcentral's name for it is "partial 16S ribosomal RNA". It matches the Rfam family "Bacterial small subunit ribosomal RNA", at positions 1320 to 1500 of the family's 1533-position model. The record is from RNAcentral.